Molecule: microRNA precursor, 84 nt
Filed under: Bombyx mori (domestic silkworm)
Lineage: Eukaryota; Metazoa; Arthropoda; Insecta; Lepidoptera; Bombycidae
Description: mir-2807 microRNA precursor family
Rfam family: mir-2807 microRNA precursor family
Source: Rfam by way of RNAcentral
UUAACUUAAAUUUGAAUGCAGUUGGAACAGCGCCCUUAGCGGCAAACGUAGGCAAACGCUCCAACUCCAUACAAAUUUGAGUUA